UUACCCUUUGAAUGCCUUGAAAAUGCUGUCAUUUUCUAUUAAAAGUAAAAACCAUUUUGUGGUCUCAAAUUAAGGAGUUGUAAAAAUUUCCUUUACAAACUCACCUGGACCGAGUAACAAACUUGGGCUUGGUUUGAACAGACAAUUAAAAUCAAGUUCCUAAUGUUUCCCUAAUCAGCUCUCUCUCUCUCUCUCUCUCUGAUCAAAAAGCAAAUUCCAUUCAGCCAAAAGGGUACAAAUCUAAGCAAACUGGAAACCCAUUGACGUGAGCUCAAUCCAGAACAUACGAUGGCCGAAUCGCCCCGGGAAAGAAAGAUAGUUGUGCCAAAAAUAAACCUAGAGGAGGUGAAGAACACAACAUUGGUGUCGUCCUCAUCACCGUCAUCCCCUACCACUCUCCGAAAGGCCUCGAGCGUGAAGUACAAUUGCCUCUGCUCUCCAACCACCCACGCCGGAUCCUUUCGCUGCCGGUACCACCGCAACUCCGGCCUCACCCGCAGCAGCAUCUCGGUCGGCGCGAAACUGUCCGCGUAUGGUUCUGUUGGCUCUGAACUCGCUGAGAUUGAGAGCAAAUGCACACUCAAUAAGCUGCAAAUAUGAAAAUGUGAUGAAAUUGAACUGUGGUGGUUGAAAUUUGUUUGUAUUGGUAUCUGAGGAACUGAUCUGAAACUGCUUAUGAAUAACUUAUGUCAUUUGGUUUGUAAGUAUUGAUGAUGGUUGUGGUUCUUGGAU
Rhododendron vialii is the source of this 732-nucleotide long non-coding RNA. RefSeq lists it as uncharacterized. The record is from RefSeq and is a predicted model, not a curated record. Lineage: Eukaryota; Viridiplantae; Streptophyta; Magnoliopsida; Ericales; Ericaceae. The transcript is spliced from 2 exons.